CCUACGGGGUGCAGCAGUGGGGAAUUUUGGACAAUGGGCGCAAGCCUGAUCCAGCUAUUCCGCGUGUGGGAAGACGGCCUUCGGGUUGUAAACCACUUUUGUAGAGAACGAAAAGUCUAUUGAUAAUACCGAUAGAUGAUGACGGUACUCUAAGAAUAAGCACCGGCUAACUACGUGCCAGCAGCCGCGGUAAUACGUAGGGUGCGAGGGUUAAUCGGAAUUACUGGGCGUAAAGGGUGUGCAGGCGGUUUUGCAAGAUGGAUGUGAAAGCCCCGGGCUUAACCUGGGAAAGCCAUACAUGACUGCAAGACUAGAGUGCGUCAGAGGGGGGUGGAAUUCCAAGUGUAGCAGUGAAAUGCGUAGAUAUUUGGAAGAACACCGAUGGCGAAGGCAGCCCCCUGGGACGCAACUGACGCUCAUACACGAAAGCGUGGGGAGCAAACAGGAUUAGAUACCCUUGUAGUC
RNAcentral lists this ribosomal RNA (465 nucleotides) under uncultured bacterium. RNAcentral's name for it is "partial 16S ribosomal RNA". It matches the Rfam family "Bacterial small subunit ribosomal RNA", at positions 338 to 795 of the family's 1533-position model. The record is from RNAcentral.